CAGAUCGCCCAGAUGGGGAUCGGCCAUAAAGCGGGACAUCGCUCCUGCGGUGCUCCCGAUGUCUGUACCCAUGUUGCUCAAAGGAGGAUAUGGCUAUGGCAA
This is a regulatory RNA element of Celeribacter indicus, 102 nucleotides long. It matches the Rfam family "Repression of heat shock gene expression (ROSE) element". Rfam says of the family: This family represents a 5' UTR cis-regulatory element found in heat shock mRNAs and is known as the ROSE (repression of heat shock gene expression) element. The ROSE element is a negative regulator of heat shock gene expression. The record is from Rfam. NCBI's taxonomy places the organism in Bacteria, Pseudomonadati, Pseudomonadota, Alphaproteobacteria, Rhodobacterales, Roseobacteraceae.